This is a long non-coding RNA of Chelonia mydas (Green sea turtle), 214 nucleotides long. RefSeq lists it as uncharacterized. NCBI's taxonomy places the organism in Eukaryota, Metazoa, Chordata, Testudines, Cheloniidae. The record is from RefSeq and is a predicted model, not a curated record. The transcript is spliced from 4 exons.
UGUUGUUCUCUAGGAAAGAGGGGAACAGUUAUGCUAUGAGCAUAGAUCAUACCUAGAACUACUUAUUUGGAACUCCCAAAUGUAUUCUGCUCUGUUCUCUUAGGACAAAUUAAAAUGAAGUGCAGUAAACCACAGGGUAACCCACUGUUUAAAUGGACUCUGGCAGCUGUAUGUAAGAUAAGGCAUGAAGGCUUGGAUAACUAGCAAAAAAUGA